AGCGAACGCUGGCGGCAGGCUUAACACAUGCAAGUCGAGCGGGCACUUUCGGGUGUCCGCGGCGGACGGGUGAGUAACGCGUGGGAACGUGCCCUCUGGCUCGGAAUAACUCAGGGAAACUUGAGCUAAUACCGGAUACGCCCUUUUGGGGAAAGGCUUGCUGCCGGAGGAUCGGCCCGCGUCUGAUUAGCUAGUUGGUGAGGUAACGGCUCACCAAGGCGACGAUCAGUAGCUGGUCUGAGAGGAUGAUCAGCCACACUGGGACUGAGACACGGCCCAGACUCCUACGGGAGGCAGCAGUGGGGAAUAUUGGACAAUGGGCGCAAGCCUGAUCCAGCCAUGCCGCGUGAGUGACGAAGGCCUUAGGGUUGUAAAGCUCUUUUAUCCGGGACGAUAAUGACGGUACCGGAGGAAUAAGCCCCGGCUAACUUCGUG
This 435-nucleotide ribosomal RNA is filed under the name uncultured bacterium. Its description in RNAcentral is "partial 16S ribosomal RNA". It matches the Rfam family "Bacterial small subunit ribosomal RNA", at positions 29 to 507 of the family's 1533-position model. The record is from RNAcentral.